GUCACUACUCUUCCGUAAAUCCCUCCUUCCUCCCCUCUCCUGCCGGAAAUGCAUUAUAGGGAUUUUACCUUCAUUGCAAAGAGCUCUCACCCUCUCCCUCGUGCAGAUUCCUCUCUCUACGGCUCUUCUCUUUGGCACUACUGGACCCUUGUACUCUCUUCGCGUUUGUCGUAGUUGGUCUUCUGCACUCUCUUAUGCUACCGUCAUUGGCUUCGUGCACCUUCGUUGUCACCGCCUGUCCCUUGAGUACUACUCCUAGGAAGUUUAGCGAUGUCAGAAGCCAACUCACCGCGGUCUCCACCGAAUAGAUCGUCUUUGAGCGACCUAGGGGUCUAGAUUUGUGGUAUUCUUGUUUUUGAUUGUUUCAUACUUGUUGAAAUCCUAAAGGGCAUUCUCUUAGGGGUCUCUCUCUCUCUCUCUCUCUCUCUCUCUCUCUCUCUCUGAGGUCUAAAGAGGGUUUAGGAUCAAUGCCCUUUUAACUUUUAAGUUUGAUCUAAGUGAAGAAAAACCCUACUAAUCCUUAACCUGCUCCCAAAAAAAAGACGAGUUUGAUUUGGGAAUUUUAUUGGCAACCUUGCAUCCCUCAACUCUCAAGUUUUUAGUAGAAAUUUUUCUUCCCUUUCGCCAGACAAUGACAAACGUCCUUGUGCAUCAUGUCCUUGGCCAAUGUAAGCUAGUUAAAUUAGCUUGUGUUAAACUAGCUCUAUGUCGUCAAUUUAAACCCUAUCCCCUUAAAAUUUGUACCGUUACUUGUUUCAAAAAUUGAAUUUGGAACACUCCCUCCUUGUUGGCUGUUUAGACAAAGCUAUACGAAGGAGGUGGAGACUUGCUCUCGCGAAUUUGCAGUCCUCUAGAAACCAUGUACAACUGCGAUUAUUGCGAUGCUUAUUUGACAGGAUACAUGAUUUUGUGAAAUGUCCAAAUUGAACAAAAUUCUCACUAGCUUGAGAUUUAUUGGUGGUAGAGCUUAGCUUUUGCUAAUUACAUCAAAUUGAAUUCCAAGCAGUGUCUUUUCACUGAGAAAGAGAAGGAAGAGAUGAGAAGAAUUCCAUAUGUUUGAGAAAUUAGAAAUUGAUGUAUGCAAUGGUUUGCAUAAGCUUAUGUUGUUGGUGUUAGUAGUUUUGUCUUCAAUCCUAAUAGUGAGCAUUGGAAUGUUGUUAAAUGGGUUCUUAGGUAUUUCUCUUCAUUAUGUGUUUGUUUUGAGAAUUGGAAACUUAUAUUAGUUAUACAGAUGUAUAUAUGACUGCAGAUGUGGCUACUAGGUCUAUGUUGAGAUACUCGAUUACUUUUAUAAGGGAAGUUGUGGCUUGGCAGCUAAAAUUGUAAAAUUGUGUUGUCCUUUCUACUACUAAAGCAGAGUUUAUUGCAACUACUGAAGCUUGCAAGGUGUUGUGGAUGAAAAGUUUUCUGCAAGAGCUUGAGUUCAAGCGAAAGAGCUGCAUGUUGCAUUGUAUAGUUAGUGUGAUUCAUUUUUGUGAGAACCAUACUUUUUAUUCUUGAUUUAAAUACAUUGAUUUGAAAUACCACUGAAUUAUAGAUGCAUUGGAUUGUGAUUUUUAGAAAUUGAGAAGAUUCAUAUCGAUGACAAUGGUUUAGACUUGAUUACAAAAUUUCUAUAAAGAAAAAAAAUAUAAAACUUGUUACAUAA
Malania oleifera is the source of this 1648-nucleotide long non-coding RNA. RefSeq lists it as uncharacterized. The transcript has 3 exons. The record is from RefSeq and is a predicted model, not a curated record. Lineage: Eukaryota; Viridiplantae; Streptophyta; Magnoliopsida; Santalales; Ximeniaceae.